AUUGAACGCUGGCGGCAGGCCUAACACAUGCAAGUCGAGCGGCAGCGGGAAAGUAGCUUGCUACUUUUGCCGGCGAGCGGCGGACGGGUGAGUAAUGCCUGGGAAAUUGCCCAGUCGAGGGGGAUAACAGUUGGAAACGACUGCUAAUACCGCAUACGCCCUACGGGGGAAAGCAGGGGACCUUCGGGCCUUGCGCGAUUGGAUAUGCCCAGGUGGGAUUAGCUAGUUGGUGAGGUAAUGGCUCACCAAGGCGACGAUCCCUAGCUGGUCUGAGAGGAUGAUCAGCCACACUGGAACUGAGACACGGUCCAGACUCCUACGGGAGGCAGCAGUGGGGAAUAUUGCACAAUGGGGGAAACCCUGAUGCAGCCAUGCCGCGUGUGUGAAGAAGGCCUUCGGGUUGUAAAGCACUUUCAGCGAGGAGGAAAGGUUGAUGCCUAAUACGCAUCAACAGUGACGUUACUCGCAGAAGAAGCACCGGCUAACUCCGUGCCAGCCGCCGCUGUAA
This 508-nucleotide ribosomal RNA is filed under the name uncultured bacterium. Its description in RNAcentral is "partial 16S ribosomal RNA". It matches the Rfam family "Bacterial small subunit ribosomal RNA", at positions 30 to 523 of the family's 1533-position model. The record is from RNAcentral.